This 2932-nucleotide ribosomal RNA is filed under the name Escherichia coli. RNAcentral describes it as "23S ribosomal RNA". It matches the Rfam family "Bacterial large subunit ribosomal RNA". Lineage: Bacteria; Pseudomonadati; Pseudomonadota; Gammaproteobacteria; Enterobacterales; Enterobacteriaceae. The record is from RNAcentral.
GGGUUGUGAGGUUAAGCGACUAAGCGUACACGGUGGAUGCCCUGGCAGUCAGAGGCGAUGAAGGACGUGCUAAUCUGCGAUAAGCGUCGGUAAGGUGAUAUGAACCGUUAUAACCGGCGAUUUCCGAAUGGGGAAACCCAGUGUGUUUCGACACACUAUCAUUAACUGAAUCCAUAGGUUAAUGAGGCGAACCGGGGGAACUGAAACAUCUAAGUACCCCGAGGAAAAGAAAUCAACCGAGAUUCCCCCAGUAGCGGCGAGCGAACGGGGAGGAGCCCAGAGCCUGAAUCAGUGUGUGUGUUAGUGGAAGCGUCUGGAAAGGCGCGCGAUACAGGGUGACAGCCCCGUACACAAAAAUGCACAUAUUGUGAGCUCGAUGAGUAGGGCGGGACACGUGGUAUCCUGUCUGAAUAUGGGGGGACCAUCCUCCAAGGCUAAAUACUCCUGACUGACCGAUAGUGAACCAGUACCGUGAGGGAAAGGCGAAAAGAACCCCGGCGAGGGGAGUGAAAAAGAACCUGAAACCGUGUACGUACAAGCAGUGGGAGCACAGAGCAAUCUGUGUGACUGCGUACCUUUUGUAUAAUGGGUCAGCGACUUAUAUUCUGUAGCAAGGUUAACCGAAUAGGGGAGCCGAAGGGAAACCGAGUCUUAACUGGGCGUUAAGUUGCAGGGUAUAGACCCGAAACCCGGUGAUCUAGCCAUGGGCAGGUUGAAGGUUGGGUAACACUAACUGGAGGACCGAACCGACUAAUGUUGAAAAAUUAGCGGAUGACUUGUGGCUGGGGGUGAAAGGCCAAUCAAACCGGGAGAUAGCUGGUUCUCCCCGAAAGCUAUUUAGGUAGCGCCUCGUGAAUUCAUCUCCGGGGGUAGAGCACUGUUUCGGCAAGGGGGUCAUCCCGACUUACCAACCCGAUGCAAACUGCGAAUACCGGAGAAUGUUAUCACGGGAGACACACGGCGGGUGCUAACGUCCGUCGUGAAGAGGGAAACAACCCAGACCGCCAGCUAAGGUCCCAAAGUCAUGGUUAAGUGGGAAACGAUGUGGGAAGGCCCAGACAGCCAGGAUGUUGGCUUAGAAGCAGCCAUCAUUUAAAGAAAGCGUAAUAGCUCACUGGUCGAGUCGGCCUGCGCGGAAGAUGUAACGGGGCUAAACCAUGCACCGAAGCUGCGGCAGCGACACUGUGUGUUGUUGGGUAGGGGAGCGUUCUGUAAGCCUGUGAAGGUGUACUGUGAGGUAUGCUGGAGGUAUCAGAAGUGCGAAUGCUGACAUAAGUAACGAUAAAGCGGGUGAAAAGCCCGCUCGCCGGAAGACCAAGGGUUCCUGUCCAACGUUAAUCGGGGCAGGGUGAGUCGACCCCUAAGGCGAGGCCGAAAGGCGUAGUCGAUGGGAAACAGGUUAAUAUUCCUGUACUUGGUGUUACUGCGAAGGGGGGACGGAGAAGGCUAUGUUGGCCGGGCGACGGUUGUCCCGGUUUAAGCGUGUAGGCUGGUUUUCCAGGCAAAUCCGGAAAAUCAAGGCUGAGGCGUGAUGACGAGGCACUACGGUGCUGAAGCAACAAAUGCCCUGCUUCCAGGAAAAGCCUCUAAGCAUCAGGUAACAUCAAAUCGUACCCCAAACCGACACAGGUGGUCAGGUAGAGAAUACCAAGGCGCUUGAGAGAACUCGGGUGAAGGAACUAGGCAAAAUGGUGCCGUAACUUCGGGAGAAGGCACGCUGAUAUGUAGGUGAAGUCCCUCGCGGAUGGAGCUGAAAUCAGUCGAAGAUACCAGCUGGCUGCAACUGUUUAUUAAAAACACAGCACUGUGCAAACACGAAAGUGGACGUAUACGGUGUGACGCCUGCCCGGUGCCGGAAGGUUAAUUGAUGGGGUCAGCGCAAGCGAAGCUCUUGAUCGAAGCCCCGGUAAACGGCGGCCGUAACUAUAACGGUCCUAAGGUAGCGAAAUUCCUUGUCGGGUAAGUUCCGACCUGCACGAAUGGCGUAAUGAUGGCCAGGCUGUCUCCACCCGAGACUCAGUGAAAUUGAACUCGCUGUGAAGAUGCAGUGUACCCGCGGCAAGACGGAAAGACCCCGUGAACCUUUACUAUAGCUUGACACUGAACAUUGAGCCUUGAUGUGUAGGAUAGGUGGGAGGCUUAGAAGUGUGGACGCCAGUCUGCAUGGAGCCGACCUUGAAAUACCACCCUUUAAUGUUUGAUGUUCUAACGUUGACCCGUGAUCCGGGUUGCGGACAGUGUCUGGUGGGUAGUUUGACUGGGGCGGUCUCCUCCUAAAGAGUAACGGAGGAGCACGAAGGUUGGCUAAUCCUGGUCGGACAUCAGGAGGUUAGUGCAAUGGCAUAAGCCAGCUUGACUGCGAGCGUGACGGCGCGAGCAGGUGCGAAAGCAGGUCAUAGUGAUCCGGUGGUUCUGAAUGGAAGGGCCAUCGCUCAACGGAUAAAAGGUACUCCGGGGAUAACAGGCUGAUACCGCCCAAGAGUUCAUAUCGACGGCGGUGUUUGGCACCUCGAUGUCGGCUCAUCACAUCCUGGGGCUGAAGUAGGUCCCAAGGGUAUGGCUGUUCGCCAUUUAAAGUGGUACGCGAGCUGGGUUUAGAACGUCGUGAGACAGUUCGGUCCCUAUCUGCCGUGGGCGCUGGAGAACUGAGGGGGGCUGCUCCUAGUACGAGAGGACCGGAGUGGACGCAUCACUGGUGUUCGGGUUGUCAUGCCAAUGGCACUGCCCGGUAGCUAAAUGCGGAAGAGAUAAGUGCUGAAAGCAUCUAAGCACGAAACUUGCCCCGAGAUGAGUUCUCCCUGACCCUUUAAGGGUCCUGAAGGAACGUUGAAGACGACGACGUUGAUAGGCCGGGUGUGUAAGCGCAGCGAUGCGUUGAGCUAACCGGUACUAAUGAACCGUGAGGCUUAACCUUACAACGCCGAAGGUGUUU